CCUACGGGCGGCAGCAGUGAGGAAUAUUGGUCAAUGGGCGAGAGCCUGAACCAGCCAAGUCGCGUGAGGGAGUACUGCCCUAUGGGUUGUAAACCUCUUUUGUCGGGGAGCAAAAGCCGGACGUGUCCGGCUGUGAGAGUACCCGAAGAAAAAGCAUCGGCUAACUCCGUGCCAGCAGCCGCGGUAAUACGGAGGAUGCGAGCGUUAUCCGGAUUUAUUGGGGUUAAAGGGUGCGCAGGCGGAUUUUUAAGUCAGCAGUCAAAUCGUGGGGCUCAACCCCAUCCAGCCGUUGAAACUGGGGAUCUAGAGUGUGCGAGAGGUAUGCGGAAUGCGUGGUGUAGCGGUGAAAUGCAUAGAUAUCACGAAGAACCCCGAUUGCGAAGGCAGCAUACCGGUGCACAACUGACGCUCAGGCACGAAAGCGUGGGUAUCGAACAGGAUUAGAUACCCGAGUAGUC
This 458-nucleotide ribosomal RNA is filed under the name uncultured bacterium. Its description in RNAcentral is "partial 16S ribosomal RNA". It matches the Rfam family "Bacterial small subunit ribosomal RNA", at positions 338 to 795 of the family's 1533-position model. The record is from RNAcentral.